Molecule: ribosomal RNA, 337 nt
Filed under: uncultured archaeon
Lineage: Archaea
Description: partial 16S ribosomal RNA
Rfam family: Archaeal small subunit ribosomal RNA
Source: RNAcentral
CGGGAAACUGGGGAUAAUACCCUAUAGACUAUGGAUGCUGGAAUGCUUCGUAGUUGAAAGGUCCGCCGUUGUAGGAUGGGUCUGCGGCCGAUUAGGUUGUUGUUGGGGUAACGGCCCAACAAGCCUGUAAUCGGUACGGGUUGUGGGAGCAAGAGCCCGGAGAUGGAUUCUGAGACACGAAUCCAGGCCCUACGAGGGGCAGCAGGCGCGAAAACUGUACAAUGCGGGAAACCGGGAUAAGGGAACUCUGAGUGCCCGUAAAAUCGGGCUGUCCAUCAGUUUAGAUAACUGGUGAAGAAAGGGCCGGGCAAGACCGGUGCCAGCCGCCGCGGUAGCA